GAUUAACGCUAGCUACAGGCUUAACACAUGCAAGUCGAGGGGAAACGGCGUCGAAAGCUUGCUUUUGAUGGGCGUCGACCGGCGCACGGGUGAGUAACGCGUAUCCAACCUGCCCAUCACUUGGGAAUAACCUUGCGAAAGUAAGACUAAUGCCCAAUGACAUCCCACGAAGGCAUCCGAAUGGGAUUAAAGAUUUAUCGGUGAUGGAUGGGGAUGCGUCUGAUUAGCUUGUUGGCGGGGUGACGGCCCACCAAGGCAACGAUCAGUAGGGGUUCUGAGAGGAAGGUCCCCCACAUUGGAACUGAGACACGGUCCAAACUCCUACGGGAGGCAGCAGUGAGGAAUAUUGGUCAAUGGGCGAGAGCCUGAACCAGCCAAGUAGCGUGCAGGAUGACGGCCCUAUGGGUUGUAAACUGCUUUUAUAAGGGAAUAAAGUGGGUCACGUGUGACUUUUUGCAUGUACCUUAUGAAUAAGGACCGGCUAAUUCCGUG
This 492-nucleotide ribosomal RNA is filed under the name uncultured bacterium. Its description in RNAcentral is "partial 16S ribosomal RNA". It matches the Rfam family "Bacterial small subunit ribosomal RNA", at positions 28 to 507 of the family's 1533-position model. The record is from RNAcentral.